CGAGCACAUGGACCCGCUGGUCGAGCGGGCUCGGCAAGGCCGGGAUGAAGAGGAGCUGCGAACCAGGAUCCGACCCAGUACCCCCAAAGCCCCUCGAGUGGAUAUCCACGCGGAAAGGAUGUUGGCAGUCCGGGUGACCUGGGAGUCAUGGCUGAAUCCACCCACCCGAAGAGAUGACAGCAGGAUCUCUUGAAGAUGCAAGCCAACCCCAUGUCCUGAGGAAAACAGCCCUAUGCCAUUUUAUGCAUGACCUUAGCAUGACUAUGGUAAGAAGAUGCCCUCCAGAAGACUGUGCUUGUGGACGACAUGGAGCCCCACUUGGGGAUUUUCUGAACCCUGUGGAUUUUACAGUGAGAUGCACUUGCCGAGGAGUGAUGCUGGUGGAUGCGGAUUCCGGAAGAACUCACCUGGCUGGCCUAAUAAAUUCUUUCAGGCUGGAUGCCCACUGGAGGCAAGGACAGUAGCUGAGAAGACUGUAUCUCAACCCUUGACUCAAUGCGAAUAUUUGCUCUGAUCUCCCGGACAACCUGGAGCUCCCUCAAAAAUAGAGCCGAGUUCUGUCACCAUGGACGCUGACAGUGGCAUGUUCCUUCCCGUGGCAAGCAGUCAGUCCUGAGGUGGAAGAAUUACCUGUGAGAUCUGGCUUGUAAACAGCACAGGCUUUGGGGAAGGCACAAUUUUUCCACACUGACAAGCCUGGGGCUCUGCAUAGGGAAUUAAGAUACAGACCAAGGAUGAUGACCAAAGGCCUGAGGACCCCAAUCGCAAAGUGCAAAGUAUCCUUGGACUUUCGGGAUGCAUACCUGUUCAGCAUUCCAGAAGGAUUUGGGGAUCAUCCUGUUCUAAAAUAAAGCCGGAGUAUUUGGGAGAUUUGGAAAAUUGAGAUGAGAAGCUUCUACUUAGAAACACCAAGUAACUCAGCUGAUAAAUAGCAAAGACAGAAGUCUUCAGGCUGGAGGGAAUUCUUUGAGACAGUUGAUCCCUCCAGCGCUGGUAGGAGAUUGAUGGACUUACACAGAAGAUAGAUCCAGCCAUGCCAUUGGCCCUAUGAGAAGGAGACACUCUUUCCAGAAGACGUAGAACAUUCCUGAACCUGGAAAGAUGCCUGGAAACUGGGAGAAGACAGAAGAGAGCACUUCCCCCUCUUGCCUGGGCAUCUCCUACCAUACUCAAUACUUUUCACCGGGUCACUGCUGAGCUGUCCUCGUUUAGUCUUGGUUUGAUGGAAUAUUAGUCUGAAAUUUUUACUUUCAAUUAAACUCACUUGUUGAACCACCUCUAUCUUCAAAGGAUUCUAUUAGGAUGGCUAAUUAUAGCUAUUGCUACAAGGCAUUAUUUGCACUCAAUUUCAGCUCUUAGGCAAUUUGGUUCAAGUGUUUUAUAUUUUCACUCUUCGGAGUUAUGUGUAACCAUCAUCCUCCUACACUACAGGUUUCAAAUGAGCUAUUUUUGGAAACCCAGAUCAAAACAGCAAUUUUGAUGGUGACCAUAUCUGGUCUAACUUUAAGUGCUGGUAAAAACAGUCAAAGACACAGUGCUAUACAGAGCAAGAAAGACCCCCACCCCCCGUUUAUGAGGUCAAGUGUUUGGAAAGUUCAAGCUGUCCUUUAUAUUACCAUAUUGGUCUGAGUACUAUCUAAAGCCAAAGGCAAUGUAAAUUCCUCCUAAAUUGCAGAGAUUUCUUCUUCUGCUAACUGUUGGCCAUAAUUAAUAUGUUUCAAGAUGGCAGCCAUGGAAGAGUUUAGCAGGGAUCCUGCAUUUCCCGUGAAGUGGAAGUUAUUUUCUAUUUACGGUUAUUUAUGUGUACGUGAGUGCGUGUAUGUUGUAUAUAGGUGGUUAUAAGUAUUUGUAUGUUAUAGCACAGAUGAGGUCCAACCCCAGCUUUCUGGAGUUGGUUUGUUCCUUCCUCUGUGAGUUCUCUAAUGCAGCUCAGGUGUUCACGGCAAGCACCGACCCUGUAAGCCAUCUUUGGGCUGAGAGCACUCUCUUUGUGUUCAUAACGCUGCCCUCAUUUCUUCUUGUGCCCACAGACACGUAGUCUAAUUCUUGCUUGCUAACCUGCUCUCCCUCCCCAAAAGUUCAGUUCUCAGCUUGUGGACCAGGACCAUCCUCUCUCCUGUCACAUGCCUGCCUCAUAAUAAGUACUUGCAUGAUCAACUGACGGAUGGGUGAAUGAAUCCUAAAAGUACAACUUUUAUUUUGUUUUUGAGAAAGUCAAUAUUUUAUUAUGUAAACAUUAAAUGAUUGCAUUCAUCUUUAAAAACAAAUAAGCAGAAAACAACCCCCUAGAAUUUUUCCAAAAAGGCUGAGAAUCUUCUAAUGUGUCUUUGCUAUUCUUCACUUCAUCCUUAUCCCUGCAGAGGGAAUAAUUUGUCAUCAUU
Long non-coding RNA from Microtus ochrogaster (prairie vole), 2381 nucleotides. RefSeq lists it as uncharacterized. NCBI's taxonomy places the organism in Eukaryota, Metazoa, Chordata, Mammalia, Rodentia, Cricetidae. The record is from RefSeq and is a predicted model, not a curated record.